UACUCGGAGCACAUUAACGAGUUUUGAAACGAGUUGUAGCUGGCCUUCCGAGGCAUGUGCACGCUCUGCUCAUCCACUCUACCCCUGUGCACUUACUGUAGGUUGGCGUGGGCUCCUUUGCGGGAGCAUUCUGCCGGCCUAUGUAUACUACAAACACUUUAAAGUAUCAGAAUGUAAACGCGUCUAACGCAUCUAUAAUACAACUUUUAGCAACGGAUCUCUUGGCUCUCGCAUCGAUGAAGAACGCAGCGAAAUGCGAUAAGUAAUGUGAAUUGCAGAAUUCAGUGAAUCAUCGAAUCUUUGAACGCACCUUGCGCUCCUUGGUAUUCCGAGGAGCAUGCCUGUUUGAGUGUCAUGGAAUUCUCAACUUAUAAAUCCUUGUGAUCUAUAAGCUUGGACUUGGAGGCUUGCUGGCCCUUGCGGUCGGCUCCUCUUGAAUGCAUUAGCUCGAUUCCGUACGGAUCGGCUCUCAGUGUGAUAAUUGUCUACGCUGUGACCGUGAAGUGUUUUGGCGAGCUUCUAACCGUCCAUUAGGACAACUUUUUAACAUCUGACCUCAAAUCAGGUAGGACUACCCGCUGAACUUAAGCAUAUCAAAAAGGGGGGAGGAAA
This 612-nucleotide ribosomal RNA is filed under the name Trametes versicolor. RNAcentral describes it as "eukaryotic LSU rRNA". The stretch from base 202 to 355 matches the Rfam family "5.8S ribosomal RNA". The record is from RNAcentral. Lineage: Eukaryota; Fungi; Basidiomycota; Agaricomycetes; Polyporales; Polyporaceae.